CAAGUCGAGCGUCAAAUUUAUUUGAGCGGCGGACGGCUGAGUAACACGUAGAAAUCUGCCCCUAUCCGGAGGAUAGCUCGCCGAAAGGUGAGGUAAUACUCCAUAGUCUAAGCCUAGCUUAGUAAAGAUUUAUCGGGAAGGGAUGAGUCUGCGGCCUAUCAGGUAGUUGGUGGGGUAACGGCCUACCAAGCCAAUGACGGGUAGCUAAUCUGGGAGGAUGGUUAGCCAGAGGGGGACUGAGACACGGCCCCCACUCCUACGGGAGGCAGCAAUCAGGAAUAGUCGGCAAUGGGCGCAAGCCUGACCGCGCGACACCGCGUGUAGGAUGAAGUUCGAAAGAGCGUAAACUACUGUGGUAGGGGAAGAAAACAAUGACGGUACCCUACUAGAAAGGAGCCGCUAACUGCGUGCCAGAAGCGUCGGUAACACGUGGGCUCCAAGCAUUAUCCGGUAUUAUUGGGCGUAAAGGGUCGCGUAGGUGGCUUGAUAAGUUAUCUUCUAAAUCUCCAUGCUCAACAUGGAUUAAGGAGAUAAUACUAUUAAGCUAGAAUUUUCUUUAGGGCGAUUGGAACUGAGAGAGGAGUAGUGAAAUGCGUUGAUACUCUCGGGAACACUAGUGGCGAAGGCGAAUCGCUGGAAGAAGAUUGACACUGAGGCACGAAAGCUAGGGGAGCGAAGCAGAUUAGAGACCUGCGUAGUCCUAGCCCUAAACUAAUGCUUGCUAGCUGCAUCUUUUUCAAUUAAUUUUGAAUUAGGUGUGGCGAAGAUAACUCGUUAACCAAGCCGCCUGGGGAGUACGGUCGCAAGGCUAAAACUCAAAGGAAUUGGCGGGGAGGCACACAACCAGUGGAACUGUGGUUCAAUUUGAUACGAACCAAGAACCUCACCAGGAUUGACAUGCUAGAGUUCAUGCCUAA
RNAcentral lists this ribosomal RNA (917 nucleotides) under uncultured bacterium. RNAcentral's name for it is "bacterial SSU rRNA". It matches the Rfam family "Bacterial small subunit ribosomal RNA", at positions 58 to 1005 of the family's 1533-position model. The record is from RNAcentral.